UACGUAGGGUGCAAGCGUUGUCCGGAAUUAUUGGGCGUAAAGAGCUUGUAGGCGGUUUGUCGCGUCUGCUGUGAAAUUUCGGGGCUCAACCCCGAACUUGCAGUGGGUACGGGCAGACUAGAGUGUGGUAGGGGAGACUGGAAUUCCCGGUGUAGCGGUGAAAUGCGCAGAUAUCGGGAGGAACACCAAUGGCGAAGGCAGCUCGCUGGGACGGUACUGACGCUGAGACGCGAAAGCGUGGGGAGCAAACAGG
This 253-nucleotide ribosomal RNA is filed under the name uncultured bacterium. Its description in RNAcentral is "partial 16S ribosomal RNA". It matches the Rfam family "Bacterial small subunit ribosomal RNA", at positions 524 to 776 of the family's 1533-position model. The record is from RNAcentral.